GACGAACGCUGGCGGCGUGCUUAACACAUGCAAGUCGAACGGUGAAGCUCCAGCUUGCUGGAGUGGAUCAGUGGCGAACGGGUGAGUAACACGUGAGCAACCUGCCCCAGACUCUGGAAUAAGCGCUGGAAACGGCGUCUAAUACUGGAUACGAGAUCAAGCCGCAUGGUUAUGGUCUGGAAAGUUUUUCGGUUUGGGAUGGGCUCGCGGCCUAUCAGCUUGUUGGUGAGGUAAUGGCUCACCAAGGCGACGACGGGUAGCCGGCCUGAGAGGGCGACCGGCCACACUGGGACUGAGACACGGCCCAGACUCCUACGGGAGGCAACAGUGGGGAAUAUUGCACAAUGGGCGAAAGCCUGAUGCAGCGACGCCGCGUGAGGGAUGACGGCCUUCGGGUUGUAAACCUCUUUCAGCAGGGAAGAAGCGAAAGUGACGGUACCUGCAGAAGAAGCACCGGCUAACUACGUG
RNAcentral lists this ribosomal RNA (468 nucleotides) under uncultured bacterium. RNAcentral describes it as "partial 16S ribosomal RNA". It matches the Rfam family "Bacterial small subunit ribosomal RNA", at positions 28 to 507 of the family's 1533-position model. The record is from RNAcentral.